This 447-nucleotide unclassified non-coding RNA is filed under the name Hevea brasiliensis (rubber tree). Lineage: Eukaryota; Viridiplantae; Streptophyta; Magnoliopsida; Malpighiales; Euphorbiaceae. The record is from RNAcentral.
GUUUUUUUCAUUUUUAUUUUCCUUUCUUGAUAAAGUCAAGCUCCACUCUCUUUAGGCCUUCUCCUUUCUCUGUGAGCAGGGGAAGGCCCUCCCCUGAACACAGUUUUGGGUUGAUCAUUCCUACUUUUUGUCAGGCAUGUACAACCUUUAAGUGUGGUUUGUUUUGGGCAGAGUGCAGUGCUUCAAAUGAGUGUCUUUUUGUGUAGAUUUGUGAUAUGUCCCUGUUUUGAGUUGGUUAUGGCCGGAUUAAGCAGUUUUUUAAGGUGGUUUCCUGCUGGGGUUAAAAAAGUUGACGGUGGUAAGUCCAAGUUGUUGUCCAGCGCCCCUCCUUUGAGUCGACUCUACUGUCCUUGUGUUGGUGCUUUUAUGUUUCAUUAGUUCAGAAUGCUGAGUCGGCGGAAGGGCUCAUUGCCCUCUCAGGUGACAGAAGGGGUAAUGAUAUGGCUG